GAUGAACGCUGGCGGCGUGCCUAAUACAUGCAAGUCGAGCGAACAGACGAGGAGCUUGCUCCUCUGACGUUAGCGGCGGACGGGUGAGUAACACGUGGAUAACCUACCUAUAAGACUGGGAUAACUUCGGGAAACCGGAGCUAAUACCGGAUAAUAUAUUGAACCGCAUGGUUCAAUAGUGAAAGACGGUUUUGCUGUCACUUAUAGAUGGAUCCGCGCCGCAUUAGCUAGUUGGUAAGGUAACGGCUUACCAAGGCAACGAUGCGUAGCCGACCUGAGAGGGUGAUCGGCCACACUGGAACUGAGACACGGUCCAGACUCCUACGGGAGGCAGCAGUAUGGAAUCUUCCGCAAUGGGCGAAAGCCUGACGGAGCAACGCCGCGUGAGUGAUGAAGGUCUUCGGAUCGUAAAACUCUGUUAUUAGGGAAGAACAAAUGUGUAAGUAACUAUGCACGUCUUGACGGUACCUAAUCAGAAAGCCCCGGCUAACUACGUG
This 497-nucleotide ribosomal RNA is filed under the name uncultured bacterium. RNAcentral describes it as "partial 16S ribosomal RNA". It matches the Rfam family "Bacterial small subunit ribosomal RNA", at positions 28 to 507 of the family's 1533-position model. The record is from RNAcentral.